GAAGAUUUAAAUGAUUCUGUUGGAACC
This 27-nucleotide non-coding RNA is filed under the name Rattus norvegicus (Norway rat). The record is from RNAcentral. Lineage: Eukaryota; Metazoa; Chordata; Mammalia; Rodentia; Muridae.